This 665-nucleotide ribosomal RNA is filed under the name uncultured archaeon. RNAcentral describes it as "bacterial SSU rRNA". It matches the Rfam family "Archaeal small subunit ribosomal RNA", at positions 26 to 736 of the family's 1478-position model. The record is from RNAcentral.
ACUGCUAUCGGGGUUCGAUUAAGCCAUGCGAGUCGAGAGGGUUCAGACCCUCGGCGGACUGCUCAGUAACACGUGGAUAAUCUGCCCUAUGGUGGAGGAUACCCCCGGGAAACUGGGGAUAAUACUCCAUAAGUCAGGAGUACUGUUUUUUCUCCUAACUGAAAGUUGCGGCGCCAUAGGAUGAAUCUGCGGCCGAUUAGGUAGUUGUUGGGUUAACCCUACCAUCUAGCCUGUAAUCGGUACGGGUUGUGGGAGCUAGAUCCCGGAGAUGGAAUCUGAGACACGAUUCCAGGCCCUACGGGGCGCAGCAGGCGCGAAAACUUUACAAUGCAGGAAACUGUGAUAAGGGAACCCCGAGUGCCCGUAAACGCGGGCUGUCCCGGUGUUUAAAACACAUCGGAAGAAAGGGCCGGGCAAGACCGGUGCCAGCCGCCGCGGUAAUACCGGCGGCUCGAGUGGUGACCACUUUUAUUGGCUUAAAGCGUUCGUAGCUUGAUUUUUAAGUCUCUUGGAAAUCUCACGGCUUAACUGUGAGCGUCUAGAGAUACUGGCAUCUAGGACCGGGAGAGGUAGAGUACUCAGGUAGAGUGAAUCUGUAUCUGAGACACGAUGCAGGCAUCUACGACGGCUCCCGUGAGACGAGCUGGGGACGACGGAUAAGAUAC